Molecule: ribosomal RNA, 490 nt
Filed under: uncultured bacterium
Lineage: Bacteria
Description: partial 16S ribosomal RNA
Rfam family: Bacterial small subunit ribosomal RNA
Source: RNAcentral
AUUGAACGCUGGCGGCAGGCCUAACACAUGCAAGUCGAACGGUAACAGGAAGCAGCUUGCUGCUUCGCUGACGAGUGGCGGACGGGUGAGUAAUGUCUGGGAAGCUGCCUGAUGGAGGGGGAUAACUACUGGAAACGGUAGCUAAUACCGCAUAAUGUCGCAAGACCAAAGAGGGGGACCUCCGGGCCUCUUGCCAUCGGAUGUGCCCAGAUGGGAUUAGCUUGUUGGUGGGGUAACGGCUCACCAAGGCGACGAUCCCUAGCUGGUCUGAGAGGAUGACCAGCCACACUGGAACUGAGACACGGUCCAGACUCCUACGGGAGGCAGCAGUGGGGAAUAUUGCACAAUGGGCGCAAGCCUGAUGCAGCCAUGCCGCGUGUAUGAAGAAGGCCUUCGGGUUGUAAAGUACUUUCAGCGGGGAGGAAGGGAGUAAGGUUAAUACCUUUGCUAAUUGACGUUACCCGCAGAAGAAGCACCGGCUAACUCCGUG